CCUACGGGGGGCUGCAGUGGGGAAUAUUGGACAAUGGGGGGAACCCUGAUCCAGCCAUGCCGCGUGUGUGAAGAAGGCCCUCGGGUUGUAAAGCACUUUCAGUGAGGAAGAACGCCUGGUGGUUAAUACCCAUCAGGAAAGACAUCACUCACAGAAGAAGCACCGGCUAACUCCGUGCCAGCAGCCGCGGUAAUACGGAGGGUGCGAGCGUUAAUCGGAAUUACUGGGCGUAAAGCGCGCGUAGGUGGCUUGAUAAGCCGGUUGUGAAAGCCCCGGGCUCAACCUGGGAACGGCAUCCAGAACUGUCAAGCUAGAGUGCAGGAGAGGAAGGUAGAAUUCCCGGUGUAGCGGUGAAAUGCGUAGAGAUCGGGAGGAAUACCAGUGGCGAAGGCGGCCUUCUGGACUGACACUGACACUGAGGUGCGAAAGCGUGGGUAGCAAACAGGAUUAGAUACCCCUGUAGUC
This 465-nucleotide ribosomal RNA is filed under the name Vreelandella stevensii. RNAcentral's name for it is "partial 16S ribosomal RNA". It matches the Rfam family "Bacterial small subunit ribosomal RNA", at positions 338 to 795 of the family's 1533-position model. Lineage: Bacteria; Pseudomonadati; Pseudomonadota; Gammaproteobacteria; Oceanospirillales; Halomonadaceae. The record is from RNAcentral.